RNAcentral lists this ribosomal RNA (510 nucleotides) under uncultured bacterium. RNAcentral describes it as "bacterial SSU rRNA". It matches the Rfam family "Bacterial small subunit ribosomal RNA", at positions 338 to 840 of the family's 1533-position model. The record is from RNAcentral.
CCUACGGGAGGCAGCAGUGGGGAAUCUUGCGCAAUGCGCGAAAGCGUGACGCAGCAACGCCGCGUGGGGGAAGACGGCCUUAGGGUUGUAAACCCCUUUCAGGAGGGACGAAGGUCGGCGCGUUAAUAGCGUGUCCGACUGACGGUACCUCCACAAGAAGCCCCGGCUAACUACGUGCCAGCAGCCGCGGUAAUACGUAGGGGGCAAGCGUUGUCCGGAAUUAUUGGGCGUAAAGAGCGUGUAGGCGGUCCGGUAAGUCAGCUGUGAAAGUCAAGGGCUCAACCCUUGAAUGCCGGUUGAUACUGUCGGGCUAGAGUCCGGAAGAGGCGAGUGGAAUUCCCGGUGUAGCGGUGAAAUGCGCAGAUAUCGGGAGGAACACCAAUGGCGAAGGCAGCUCGCUGGGACGGUACUGACGCUGAGACGCGAAAGCGUGGGGAUCAAACAGGAUUAGAUACCCUGGUAGUCCACGCCGUAAACGAUGGGCACUAGGUGUUGGGGGUGUCCACUUCC